This 2893-nucleotide ribosomal RNA is filed under the name Pseudomonas syringae pv. actinidiae. RNAcentral's name for it is "23S ribosomal RNA". It matches the Rfam family "Bacterial large subunit ribosomal RNA". Lineage: Bacteria; Pseudomonadati; Pseudomonadota; Gammaproteobacteria; Pseudomonadales; Pseudomonadaceae. The record is from RNAcentral.
GGUCAAGUGAAGAAGCGCAUACGGUGGAUGCCUUGGCAGUCAGAGGCGAUGAAAGACGUGGUAGCCUGCGAAAAGCUUCGGGGAGUCGGCAAACAGACUGUGAUCCGGAGAUGUCUGAAUGGGGGAACCCAGCCAUCACAAGAUGGUUAUCUUACACUGAAUACAUAGGUGUAAGAGGCGAACCAGGGGAACUGAAACAUCUAAGUACCCUGAGGAAAAGAAAUCAACCGAGAUUCCCUUAGUAGUGGCGAGCGAACGGGGACCAGCCCUUAAGUUGUAUUGAGAUUAGCGGAACGCUCUGGAAAGUGCGGCCAUAGUGGGUGAUAGCCCUGUACGCGAAAAUCCCUUUGCAAUGAAAUCGAGUAGGACGGGGCACGAGAAACCUUGUCUGAAUAUGGGGGGACCAUCCUCCAAGGCUAAAUACUACUGACUGACCGAUAGUGAACCAGUACCGUGAGGGAAAGGCGAAAAGAACCGCGGAGAGCGGAGUGAAAUAGAUCCUGAAACCGUAUGCGUACAAGCAGUGGGAGCCCACUUUGUUGGGUGACUGCGUACCUUUUGUAUAAUGGGUCAGCGACUUAUUUUCAGUGGCGAGCUUAACCGAAUAGGGGAGGCGUAGCGAAAGCGAGUCUUAAUAGGGCGUCUAGUCGCUGGGAAUAGACCCGAAACCGGGCGAUCUAUCCAUGGGCAGGUUGAAGGUUGGGUAACACUAACUGGAGGACCGAACCGACUACCGUUGAAAAGUUAGCGGAUGACCUGUGGAUCGGAGUGAAAGGCUAAUCAAGCUCGGAGAUAGCUGGUUCUCCUCGAAAGCUAUUUAGGUAGCGCCUCAUGUAUCACUGUAGGGGGUAGAGCACUGUUUCGGCUAGGGGGUCAUCCCGACUUACCAAACCGAUGCAAACUCCGAAUACCUACAAGUGCCGAGCAUGGGAGACACACGGCGGGUGCUAACGUCCGUCGUGAAAAGGGAAACAACCCAGACCGUCAGCUAAGGUCCCAAAGUCAUGGUUAAGUGGGAAACGAUGUGGGAAGGCUUAGACAGCUAGGAGGUUGGCUUAGAAGCAGCCACCCUUUAAAGAAAGCGUAAUAGCUCACUAGUCGAGUCGGCCUGCGCGGAAGAUGUAACGGGGCUCAAACCAUGCACCGAAGCUACGGGUAUCACCUUUGGUGAUGCGGUAGAGGAGCGUUCUGUAAGCCUGUGAAGGUGAGUUGAGAAGCUUGCUGGAGGUAUCAGAAGUGCGAAUGCUGACAUGAGUAACGACAAUGGGUGUGAAAAACACCCACGCCGAAAGACCAAGGUUUCCUGCGCAACGUUAAUCGACGCAGGGUUAGUCGGUCCCUAAGGCGAGGCUGAAAAGCGUAGUCGAUGGAAAACAGGUUAAUAUUCCUGUACUUCUGGUUAUUGCGAUGGAGGGACGGAGAAGGCUAGGCCAGCCUGGCGUUGGUAGUCCAGGUUUAAGGUGGUAGGCUGAGAUCUUAGGUAAAUCCGGGAUCUUAAGGCCGAGAGCUGAUGACGAGUGUUCUUUUAGAACAUGAAGUGGUUGAUGCCAUGCUUCCAAGAAAAGCUUCUAAGCUUCAGGUAACCAGGAACCGUACCCCAAACCGACACAGGUGGUUGGGUAGAGAAUACCAAGGCGCUUGAGAGAACUCGGGUGAAGGAACUAGGCAAAAUGGCACCGUAACUUCGGGAGAAGGUGCGCCGGUGAGGGUGAAGCAUUUACUGCGUAAGCCCACGCCGGUCGAAGAUACCAGGCCGCUGCGACUGUUUAUUAAAAACACAGCACUCUGCAAACACGAAAGUGGACGUAUAGGGUGUGACGCCUGCCCGGUGCCGGAAGGUUAAUUGAUGGGGUUAGCGCAAGCGAAGCUCUUGAUCGAAGCCCCGGUAAACGGCGGCCGUAACUAUAACGGUCCUAAGGUAGCGAAAAUCCUUGUCGGGUAAGUUCCGACCUGCACGAAUGGCGUAACGAUGGCGGCGCUGUCUCCACCCGAGACUCAGUGAAAUUGAAAUCGCUGUGAAGAUGCAGUGUAUCCGCGGCUAGACGGAAAGACCCCGUGAACCUUUACUAUAGCUUUGCACUGGACUUUGAAUUUGCUUGUGUAGGAUAGGUGGGAGGCUUUGAAGCGUGGACGCCAGUCUGCGUGGAGCCAACCUUGAAAUACCACCCUGGCAACUUUGAGGUUCUAACUCAGGUCCGUUAUCCGGAUCGAGGACAGUGUAUGGUGGGUAGUUUGACUGGGGCGGUCUCCUCCUAAAGAGUAACGGAGGAGUACGAAGGUGCGCUCAGACCGGUCGGAAAUCGGUCGUAGAGUAUAAAGGCAAAAGCGCGCUUGACUGCGAGACAGACACGUCGAGCAGGUACGAAAGUAGGUCUUAGUGAUCCGGUGGUUCUGUAUGGAAGGGCCAUCGCUCAACGGAUAAAAGGUACUCCGGGGAUAACAGGCUGAUACCGCCCAAGAGUUCAUAUCGACGGCGGUGUUUGGCACCUCGAUGUCGGCUCAUCACAUCCUGGGGCUGAAGCCGGUCCCAAGGGUAUGGCUGUUCGCCAUUUAAAGUGGUACGCGAGCUGGGUUUAGAACGUCGUGAGACAGUUCGGUCCCUAUCUGCCGUGGACGUUUGAGAUUUGAGAGGGGCUGCUCCUAGUACGAGAGGACCGGAGUGGACGAACCUCUGGUGUUCCGGUUGUCACGCCAGUGGCAUUGCCGGGUAGCUAUGUUCGGAAAAGAUAACCGCUGAAAGCAUCUAAGCGGGAAACUUGCCUCAAGAUGAGAUCUCACUGGAACCUAGAGUUCCCUGAAGGGCCGUCGAAGACUACGACGUUGAUAGGUUGGGUGUGUAAGCGCUGUGAGGCGUUGAGCUAACCAAUACUAAUUGCCCGUGAGGCUUGACCAU